This 253-nucleotide ribosomal RNA is filed under the name uncultured bacterium. RNAcentral describes it as "partial 16S ribosomal RNA". It matches the Rfam family "Bacterial small subunit ribosomal RNA", at positions 524 to 776 of the family's 1533-position model. The record is from RNAcentral.
GACAGAGGCCUCGAGCGUUAGGCGGAAUCACUGGGCUUAAAGCGUGUGUAGGCGGGCCCGUAAGUGUCUUGUGAAAGCCCCGGGCUUAACCUGGGAACUGCGUUUGAAACUGGGAGACUUGAGUGUGGCAGAGGGGGGUGGAAUUCCACGUGUAGCAGUGAAAUGCGUAGAUAUGUGGAGGAACACCGAUGGCGAAGGCAGCCCCCUGGGUUAACACUGACGCUCAUGCACGAAAGCGUGGGGAGCAAACAGG